CGAACGCUGGCGGCGUGCUUAACACAUGCAAAUCGAACGGAAAGGCCCUGCUUUUGUGGGGUGCUCGAGUGGCGAACGGGUGAGUAACACGUGAGUAACCUGCCCUUGACUUUGGGAUAACUUCAGGAAACUGGGGCUAAUACCGGAUAGGAGCUCCUGCUGCAUGGUGGGGGUUGGAAAGUUUCGGCGGUUGGGGAUGGACUCGCGGCUUAUCAGCUUGUUGGUGGGGUAGUGGCUUACCAAGGCUUUGACGGGUAGCCGGCCUGAGAGGGUGACCGGCCACAUUGGGACUGAGAUACGGCCCAGACUCCUACGGGAGGCAGCAGUGGGGAAUAUUGCACAAUGGGCGGAAGCCUGAUGCAGCAACGCCGCGUGCGGGAUGACGACCUUCGGGUUGUAAACCGCUUUCGCCUGUGACGAAGCGUGAGUGACGGUAGUGGGUAAAGAAGCACCGGCUAACUACGUG
This 466-nucleotide ribosomal RNA is filed under the name uncultured bacterium. RNAcentral describes it as "partial 16S ribosomal RNA". It matches the Rfam family "Bacterial small subunit ribosomal RNA", at positions 30 to 507 of the family's 1533-position model. The record is from RNAcentral.